UCCGAGUUGACCCCGGCAGUCUCCGAUGAGUCCCCGGCUUUACCCGCUGGCAACAUCGAACAAGGGUUGCGCUCGUUGCGGGACUUAACCCAACAUCUCACGACACGAGCUGACGACAACCAUGCACCACCUGUACACCGCCCCAAAAGGACCCCCCAUCUCUGGAGGUUUUCGGUGUAUGUCAAGCCUUGGUAAGGUUCUUCGCGUUGCAUCGAAUUAAGCCGCAUGCUCCGCCGCUUGUGCGGGCCCCCGUCAAUUCCUUUGAGUUUUAGCCUUGCGGCCGUACUCCCCAGGCGGGGCGCUUAAUGCGUUAGCUACGGCACGGAGAUCGUGGAAAGAUCCCCACACCUAGCGCCCAACGUUUACAGCGUGGACUAC
Molecule: unclassified non-coding RNA, 378 nt
Filed under: uncultured Actinomycetes bacterium
Lineage: Bacteria; Bacillati; Actinomycetota; Actinomycetes
Description: uncultured actinobacterium contains 16S-23S intergenic spacer region
Source: RNAcentral